CUGUUGAGCUUCGCUUUAGUCUGACAUUGAGGAGAGUCAUGAGAGGUGUUGCAUAAAUUAGAGCUUUAUAGCAGCAGUGGAAUACUACUCUUUUCAUCAACUCUUCACUUAUUUGGUUAAACGAGACCUGAGUUAUAACAACAACUCUUGGUUCUGAUGCUUAAGUGUGAUGUUUGCACGACCCCCCACUAUGACAUUGUAACGCUGGGAGUUUGACUGCAGCGUUACGUCUGUAAAAUAAUAAAGCAGUAUCCUGGUGCUGGACAGGCCAUUAUUAUUUGGACGGCUUAAUCUCCAGUUGCAAAUAUGCUCCUCUUGAUGACUUAGCUAGGUGGUUGAGGGGUUAUUUGGUUAUCAAAG
RNAcentral lists this non-coding RNA (360 nucleotides) under Enterobius vermicularis (human pinworm). RNAcentral's name for it is "Eukaryotic large subunit ribosomal RNA". It matches the Rfam family "Eukaryotic large subunit ribosomal RNA", at positions 2413 to 2758 of the family's 3401-position model. Lineage: Eukaryota; Metazoa; Nematoda; Chromadorea; Rhabditida; Oxyuridae. The record is from Rfam by way of RNAcentral.